AAAAAAAAGUGUCCUUGCACUUUCUGGCUGAUUGUGGCAGCCCAGAUUGAAUGAGAA
RNAcentral lists this small nucleolar RNA (57 nucleotides) under Sorex araneus (European shrew). Its description in RNAcentral is "Small nucleolar RNA SNORA31 (ENSSARG00000019090.1)". The record is from RNAcentral. Lineage: Eukaryota; Metazoa; Chordata; Mammalia; Eulipotyphla; Soricidae.